Long non-coding RNA from Ornithodoros turicata, 380 nucleotides. RefSeq lists it as uncharacterized. Lineage: Eukaryota; Metazoa; Arthropoda; Arachnida; Ixodida; Argasidae. The transcript is spliced from 3 exons. The record is from RefSeq and is a predicted model, not a curated record.
UCUGUGGACUCUUGCCCGAGUACACGGCGGCGAAGUCCUGACUCCCUUCGUUGGUGGGAGCUCGGCCGCGGAGGGGAAAGUAAAAUUGCUUUCCACAUUCCAUUCGAUGUAACAUUUGUAUGGACGCAGAAGAAAAGUUAGGCAGAAAAGAAACUUUUUGAACAGCCAGAGUCAACAAAGUGUGUUUGCAUAGCUCUGUAAUCGAUACCCAUGAAGCGAAACGAUCCGGAACAUUUGUUUCCUGUGAGUCCUUUGUUUCAUGAUGUAUCCACAACAACAACAACAGCGAUCACUUUGCUACCUUUAAUGCCCCAGGCAGAACCAAGGUACAAGGCUGCCGUAAAGACAGGGACAACGUGCACGGUACAGAGAAAAUCUCG